This 204-nucleotide unclassified non-coding RNA is filed under the name uncultured Tomentella. RNAcentral's name for it is "sequence contains ITS1". The record is from RNAcentral. Lineage: Eukaryota; Fungi; Basidiomycota; Agaricomycetes; Thelephorales; Thelephoraceae.
CCGAGUCGUCGACACGAGUUGUUGCUGGUCCUCACACAAGGGGGCAUGUGCACGCUCUGUUCACACAUCCACUCACACCUGUGCACCCUCUGUAGUUCUAUGGUCUGGGGGGACAUCUCGUCCUCCUCCUGUAGUUCUACGUCUUUACACAUACGCCGUAGCAAAGUCUCAUGGAAUGUGCAUCGCGUUUAACGCAAUACAAUA